GACGAACGCUGGCGGCGUGCUUAACACAUGCAAGUCGAACGGAAAGGCCCUGCUUUUGUGGGGUGCUCGAGUGGCGAACGGGUGAGUAACACGUGAGUAACCUGCCCUUGACUUUGGGAUAACUUCAGGAAACUGGGGCUAAUACCGGAUAGGAGCCCCUGCUGCAUGGUGGGGGUUGGAAAGUUUCGGCGGUUGGGGAUGGACUCGCGGCUUAUCAGCUUGUUGGUGGGGUAGUGGCUUACCAAGGCUUUGACGGGUAGCCGGCCUGAGAGGGUGACCGGCCACAUUGGGACUGAGAUACGGCCCAGACUCCUACGGGAGGCAGCAGUGGGGAAUAUUGCACAAUGGGCGGAAGCCUGAUGCAGCAACGCCGCGUGCGGGAUGACGGCCUCCGGGUUGUAAACCGCUUUCGCCUGUGACGAAGCGUGAGUGACGGUAAUGGGUAAAGAAGCACCGGCUAACUACGUG
Molecule: ribosomal RNA, 468 nt
Filed under: uncultured bacterium
Lineage: Bacteria
Description: partial 16S ribosomal RNA
Rfam family: Bacterial small subunit ribosomal RNA
Source: RNAcentral